GACGAACGCUGGCGGCGUGCUUAACACAUGCAAGUCGAACGGAAAGGCCCUGCUUUUGUGGGGUGCUCGAGUGGCGAACGGGUGAGUAACACGUGAGUAACCUGCCCUUGACUUUGGGAUAACUUCAGGAAACUGGGGCUAAUACCGGAUAGGAGCUCCUGCUGCAUGGUGGGGGUUGGAAAGUUUCGGCGGUUGGGGAUGGACUCGCGGCUUAUCAGCUUGUUGGUGGGGUAGUGGCUUACCAAGGCUUUGACGGGUAGCCGGCCUGAGAGGGUGACCGGCCACAUUGGGACUGAGAUACGGCCCGGACUCCUACGGGAGGCAGGAGUGGGGAAUAUUGCACAAUGGGCGGAAGCCUAAUGCAACAACGCCGCGUGCGGGAUAACGGCCUUCGGGUUGUAAACCGCUUUCGCCUGUGACGAAGCGUGAGUGACGGUAAUGGGUAAAGAAGCACCGGCUAACUACGUG
This 468-nucleotide ribosomal RNA is filed under the name uncultured bacterium. RNAcentral's name for it is "partial 16S ribosomal RNA". It matches the Rfam family "Bacterial small subunit ribosomal RNA", at positions 28 to 507 of the family's 1533-position model. The record is from RNAcentral.